RNAcentral lists this unclassified non-coding RNA (1007 nucleotides) under Hevea brasiliensis (rubber tree). Lineage: Eukaryota; Viridiplantae; Streptophyta; Magnoliopsida; Malpighiales; Euphorbiaceae. The record is from RNAcentral.
GUAACUUGAUUGCAGCGGGUGUGGAAGUAGAGCUGUGGGGACACUGCUUGUUCACAGAGGCUGCUCUCCCCAGUCAAGAAAAGGGAGAUGACAAAUUUAAAAUGAAGUGGAGCCGUGGAGGCAAGAAACCCGUCAAACCCAGUUCUUGUAUCAAGUCCAUCAUCGAUUUCUUCUUCUUCUUGGGGCUUUUGUCUUUGCCAAAUUGAGGAAAGAGAGACGAUGAGGAAAGGAGAGAUAUUUUGGGAGGUAGAGGCCGGAGGAGAAACUACAGGCAUAAGGAGAUUUUUUUUUUUUCUCUUUUUAAAAAAGGAGGUGAGAGAGAAUGUGAAAGAGCAUAGAAGAGAAAAAUUUUUGACGAAACAGGAAUCUGGAAAGGGCAUAGGGGGAGUGGUGGUGCAGAAGCAAGGAGAAAGAAAGAGGCUUAAAUAGUGGAGAGCUUUAGUAACCUAAUGUAAAACGCUGAGUUUUGGACAGUUCGGAUCUUCUGAUUUUUUCAAUGUAAAAAUCAAACCAAAUUGAAUAAAUUGAAAAUUAUAUAAAUUAAAACCAAACCAAAUCAAACUGAACUAUCAAAAAACCUAAUAAAAUUUCCAAAUUAAAUUUGUUCUGUCGGUUUUUUCAGUUUGAAUUGAAUUCUAUUCACCCCUAGUUCUGGUUCCCCAUCAACAAUGUGUAUAAUUUCCUUUAUAUCAGCCAGGUCCAUUGGUAGAGACAUGCACUGAAGUCCUUACAAUUGAUAUCUUUAUUUGUUCAAUUGAAGUCUGAUUUGUAGACAAUAAGAUGCUAGCUAAGCAUGACUGCCUCUAGAGUUAGUGUUGUCUUUCCAUCUCAUUCAUUGUAGGAAAGGAUAUCUAAACUGUCUUCUGCAUUGUCAACUCAUUUGGUGUUGUGAAUUAAAGGUCAUGUGGUAUAAUCUAUCCCGAAGUUUCUCAUUUCUCUGUAUUUACUAAUGUGCUUGUGCUCAUGUUUUUCUAUUAUUUGUGCAGGUUAGAGGUGUAAGACCAUUG